RNAcentral lists this long non-coding RNA (2283 nucleotides) under Homo sapiens (human). Its description in RNAcentral is "non-protein coding lnc-ZNF273-1:1". Lineage: Eukaryota; Metazoa; Chordata; Mammalia; Primates; Hominidae. The record is from RNAcentral.
AAACCAGUAGACUUCUGUGGACGUGCAUCGCCGCUGGACUCUCACCCGUCUUCUCUGAGAGAUCCACGGGAUAGUCCCCUGAUCCUAGAAUUGGGCAGGGCCGACCCAGGGUGAAGAAACCUCAAGCGGACUCCCAGGGCUGCAGAUCGAAAUCCCUAAGGAUCCCAGGGGACCCGCAGGAUGUGUCAGGCAUGCCUAGGCGGUGUGGGGGCUUGAAAUCGCCCUUAGACAGCCUCUGAGACACUUUCUCAACCUCACCUGCCCCGGUGGGAUGCCAACUCCAGGUGUCAGACCUCUGCUCCACCUUGGACUAGCCUUUGUCGUGGUUCCUGCCUUUCCCAGACGACCGUGCUGAGAAGCAGGAGCCCCUGUGAGGCCCAGGAUGAAGGAAGACAGUGAGCUUAAGGACACAGGAAUCUUCCGCUAGCACCAUCAUCCAGAAUUUUAACUAAAAUUCCAUCUCAAAGAGACCCCUCAAAAACUCACAAGACUGUAUCUCCAGCCCAAUGGGACCCGAUUCCUACACACAGCCUUUUUCGGGAAUGGAAUCAGAAACGCAGUUUCCAUGGCCCAACUCACAGUCUCAAAGCCUGUCCUCCUCCAGCGGGACAGGGCCACGGAGACAAACUAAGGAAGCCCUACGGUGAGCAACGUUGGGGGCCCGCAGUACUUGUUGCAGGCAGCCUAUUUCCUGAGACCAGGCAGGCUCUGCCUGCACCAUUUUCCUUGCUUAGGUAGGCUGAAAACCCUGACAGCCUGGUGACCGAAACUGCCUCAUGCAUGCACCAGUGGCGGGGCACCAGGAGCAAGUAGUGAGCGCGGGCUCGAGUCACAGUGAAUGCCUUCGUUGCAUCUCGACAAGUCUCUGACUCUUGGCAAAGAGGGGGUCCUCUGUGACGUGCGUCGAAGUUGGACUUCCGGUUGUCUUCUCUGGGGAUCCAUGGGAUACUCCCACGAUCCAGGAUACAAUAGAGGCAGACCAUUCUGAGGAAAUGUCAAGUAGCACUUAGCACCUGCCCGCCCUCCACCUUCUCCACCACCCAGCAGGAGCGGGGCGGCCUGGAUCUGUUUUCUGCCCCUGACCAGGGGGCCGCGUCUUCGGCAAAGUCUUCGGGGUGAGAGGUCCGGCUCCUGGAGGACAGCGGGAUGGGAGAGUCCCGUUCACACCCAGCCCCGCAGAGCCGGAUAGAAACGCUGCCACUGCCGACUCCAUGCUGCCGGGAAGUGCACUGUGGAGGCCACUUUCUGGAAAGAAGAAACCGUCUGAACACAAAGUUGCUCAAGCCAUGUUCAUCUAUCUGCCAGGGAAACGGAGGCCCUGAGUGCCAGAGUCCAAGUCACCCUGCAAGAGAAAACUCUGGUGGAGCCCAGGGUGUCCAGCCCCUGUCCACCCAGCCGCCGUGGUCAAGGUUAAUAAGGGCAAGGGGCCAAGCAGAACCGCCUACAAGGAACCGAGUGUCCACAAAGCAGGAAGCGAAGAACGUUUCUCCUACCUAGAGCGCAGCCGUUUUGCGGAAGGCACAGUCCGGGCUCCGGGAGCCAAGCAGGGAUCCGGGCCUCGUUGCGGAGGGGACGCCCGGGCUGAGCUGAGCUCACUUGCUGGCGGCGGCAGCCCCUGCAGUCAUGGGGUCACCGGCUUGUGGAGAGGGGCUGGCGCUGUUCCUUGGCCCCGCUCCCCGCCCGCAAAGGGCCGGGAGGUCGGGCUCCCGGCAGUGUCCAGGCUCUCGCCCGCCGGUGCCUGAGCCGUACCCACCGCGUCCCCUCCGCCCCAACAGCUGGUGCUGAGGGUCCGGCCCGGGGUCAUCUGGCAGGGCCGUGCGGCUCCUGCGGGUGACCAGGAGCGCGGAGCCCCUUCCCACUCGGGCUCGGGUGGCCUCACCUUUCCUGGGGCUGCGUCCCCGCGGGACGCCAGGUUCCCGGUUUCUUCUAGGUCGCCCUGGUUCCUGGCAGCUCCUGGUGCCACGCGGUCCUCUACGGUCUCCUCUGACCUGAGAGGGACAGUGAGAUGGGGCUGGCGGGGAUGGGGGUCCCCGCGCUGUUGGAAAGCAGCGGGGCUGCUGCUGACCGGAGCCGCCUGGGUCUGUUCUGGAACCGUCGCCCUGGGGCCCCUCCGCCCCGCAAACGCUCGGGAUGCGGUUUGGGAGUGUAGCUGGACACCGAGCACCAUCCACGCUCAGCCCCACGGGGCUCCAGGAGUCCCGAGCCCAAGCCCCUGCACUUGCAUUUUAUUUAAAAAACCUGAGGGUUAAAUUCGGGCAAGUCAGUUGCCUCAGUGUUUGUCGC